Molecule: long non-coding RNA, 256 nt
Filed under: Vigna radiata
Lineage: Eukaryota; Viridiplantae; Streptophyta; Magnoliopsida; Fabales; Fabaceae
Description: long non-coding RNA (VRAD_LNC002669)
Source: RNAcentral
AACAGCUCAGCGCUAAAAAACGACGCUCAGCGAUUUGCCAAAAAACCGCUCAGCGCCCAAAACCACCGCUCAACGCUCUGGUCAACUGGUUGACUUUUCUGGUUGACUGGUUGACUUUUCUGGUUGGCUGUUAACUUUUCUGCAUUAUAUUUGACUUUUCUGCACUGCAACCCUUGGUACUUCAACCUUUCUUUUAAUUCAUUCCAAAAACCUACAAAAUCAAGAGAAUUUAAUGACAAAAUCAUAAAACAUGUCC